GAUCCUGGCUCAGGAUGAACGCUAGCUACAGGCUUAACACAUGCAAGUCGAGGGGCAGCAUGAACUUAGCUUGCUAAGUUUGAUGGCGACCGGCGGCACGGGUGAGUAACACGUAUCCAACCUGCUGAGUGACUCGGGGAUAGCCUUUCGAAAGAAAGAUUAAUACCCGAUGGCAUAGUUCUUCCGCAUGGUGGAACUAUUAAAGAAUUUCGGUCAUCGAUGGGGAUGCGUUCCA
This 235-nucleotide ribosomal RNA is filed under the name uncultured bacterium. RNAcentral describes it as "partial 16S ribosomal RNA". It matches the Rfam family "Bacterial small subunit ribosomal RNA", at positions 15 to 240 of the family's 1533-position model. The record is from RNAcentral.